UACGGAGGAUGCGAGCGUUAUCCGGAUUUAUUGGGUUUAAAGGGAGCGCAGGCUGCGAGGCAAGUCAGCGGUCAAAUGUCGGGGCUCAACCCCGGCCUGCCGUUGAAACUGUCCUGCUAGAGUUCGAGUGAGGUAUGCGGAAUGCGUUGUGUAGCGGUGAAAUGCAUAGAUAUGACGCAGAACUCCGAUUGCGAAGGCAGCAUACCAACUCGCGACUGACGCUGAGGCUCGAAAGCGUGGGUAUCGAACAGG
RNAcentral lists this ribosomal RNA (252 nucleotides) under Muribaculum intestinale. RNAcentral's name for it is "partial 16S ribosomal RNA". It matches the Rfam family "Bacterial small subunit ribosomal RNA", at positions 524 to 776 of the family's 1533-position model. The record is from RNAcentral. Lineage: Bacteria; Pseudomonadati; Bacteroidota; Bacteroidia; Bacteroidales; Muribaculaceae.